GAACGGGUGAGUAAUACAUCGGAACGUGCCCAGUAGUGGGGGAUAACCCGGCGAAAGCCGGAUUAAUACCGCAUACGACCUAAGGGUGAAAGCGGGGGAUCGCAAGACCUCGCGCUAUUGGAGCGGCCGAUGUCAGAUUAGCUAGUUGGUGGGGUAAAAGCCUACCAAGGCGACGAUCUGUAGCUGGUCUGAGAGGACGACCAGCCACACUGGGACUGAGACACGGCCCAGACUCCUACGGGAGGCAGCAGUGGGGAAUUUUGGACAAUGGGCGCAAGCCUGAUCCAGCCAUGCCGCGUGUGGGAAGAAGGCCUUCGGGUUGUAAACCACUUUUGUCAGGGAAGAAACGGCUAGAGCUAAUACCUCUGGCUAAUGACGGUACCUGAAGAAUAAGCACCGGCUAACUACGUGCCAGCAGCCGCGGUAAUACGUAGGGUGCGAGCGUUAAUCGGAAUUACUGGGCGUAAAGCGUGCGCAGGCGGCUUUGCAAGACAGAUGUGAAAUCCCCGGGCUUAACCUGGGAACUGCAUUUGUGACUGCAUGGCUAGAGUACGGUAGAGGGGGAUGGAAUUCCGCGUGUAGCANUGAAAUGCGUAGAUAUGCGGAGGAACACCGAUGGCGAAGGCAAUCCCCUGGACCUGUACUGACGCUCAUGCACGAAAGCGUGGGGAGCAA
RNAcentral lists this ribosomal RNA (675 nucleotides) under uncultured bacterium. RNAcentral describes it as "bacterial SSU rRNA". It matches the Rfam family "Bacterial small subunit ribosomal RNA", at positions 100 to 771 of the family's 1533-position model. The record is from RNAcentral.